Molecule: long non-coding RNA, 225 nt
Organism: Hippocampus comes (tiger tail seahorse)
Lineage: Eukaryota; Metazoa; Chordata; Actinopteri; Syngnathiformes; Syngnathidae
Exons: 2
Source: RefSeq, a predicted model, not a curated record
CCAGAAGAGGGGGACGGAUACUGGCUGGACGCAGAAUAUGACGACAUCUUCGCAACAUCAGCACCGAGGACUCGUACUGGGCCGGCUACGGAAGGCGAGUGUGUGAUGGAUGACAUGACAGCCGCGCCGACCAGCACAAAGACCAAGAGGAGCCUGCGGAUCAGAUUCACAACGCCCACAAAACAACAACAACAACAACAAUUGUGAUAAGCUUCAAAAUGUGCA